This 107-nucleotide Y RNA is filed under the name Propithecus coquereli (Coquerel's sifaka). Its description in RNAcentral is "Y RNA (ENSPCOG00000004480.1)". It matches the Rfam family "Y RNA". Rfam says of the family: Y RNAs are components of the Ro ribonucleoprotein particle (Ro RNP), in association with Ro60 and La proteins. The Y RNAs and Ro60 and La proteins are well conserved, but the function of the Ro RNP is not known. Lineage: Eukaryota; Metazoa; Chordata; Mammalia; Primates; Indriidae. The record is from Rfam by way of RNAcentral.
GGCUGGUCUGAAGGUAGUGAGUUAUCUCACUUGAUUGUUCAGUCACACAUUGAACUCCUUGUUCUAAUACUUUCCCCCUUCUCACUAUUGCACUUGACUUGUCUUAA